This 301-nucleotide ribosomal RNA is filed under the name uncultured bacterium. RNAcentral's name for it is "partial 16S ribosomal RNA". It matches the Rfam family "Bacterial small subunit ribosomal RNA", at positions 509 to 808 of the family's 1533-position model. The record is from RNAcentral.
CAGUAGCCACGGUAAUACGUAGGUCCCGAGCGUUGUCCGGAUUUAUUGGGCGUAAAGCGAGCGCAGGCGGUUAGAUAAGUCUGAAGUUAAAGGCUGUGGCUUAACCAUAGUACGCUUUGGAAACUGUUUAACUUGAGUGCAAGAGGGGAGAGUGGAAUUCCAUGUGUAGCGGUGAAAUGCGUAGAUAUAUGGAGGAACACCGGUGGCGAAAGCGGCUCUCUGGCUUGUAACUGACGCUGAGGCUCGAAAGCGUGGGGAGCAAACAGGAUUAGAGACCCCCGUAGUCCCUGUCUCUUAUACA